Armigeres subalbatus is the source of this 242-nucleotide long non-coding RNA. RefSeq lists it as uncharacterized. Lineage: Eukaryota; Metazoa; Arthropoda; Insecta; Diptera; Culicidae. The record is from RefSeq and is a predicted model, not a curated record. The transcript has 3 exons.
GAAAAAUGUAAACACUAUAAACAGAAAAAGCGGUGAAAAUUUGAAAAGCUAUAUUUGGACUAUAUUUGUAAAAUUAAUUAAUGAAUUUGGAAGACAAUUGAAGGCUAGAAAUAUAAUUAAAAUAAUUACUUUGUUGCGACACGUUUGUAAUCAAAGGAGAUUGAAUUCUUAAGCUACUAUAUACACACUCAAUAGAGAGUCGUUGUUUUGCUGGAAGAACUCCGAUAAAGUCUGUCGUAACA